CUGCGAGCAAAGAACCAUGUAUCUUAUAUUACCACUUUAUUUCUACAGACAAUUGUACUAGUUCAAAUUUCAACAAUUUACGAGUAGAGUUUGGUUUGGGACACUGAUUGUAGUGUAUUUCUACUGACAAUGUCGACAGUUGGCUUUUCUUUUAUUGUCAUUAAAACAUAUUGAAUAUAUACACAUUUUUAUGUAAUUUUUUUGUAGAUCGCAUCGAAACAACGCGUUUUUAUCGGCAAUUAAUUUGUUUUGUGUGUUUUAUUGUUAAAAAGGUGAUUAUUUAUUAAAUAUAUAAACAAAAUGAGUAAAAGAAAUUAUAAAAGAUUAAUUAAAAAACAAAAAAUAUUGUAUAAAAACAGAAGUUUGCAAUGUGAACAAGAAAAUAGUGAAAGUGAAUUUGUGUCAAACGGUGGAGAUUUUAUAAAUGAUUUCGUGGAAAAUGGAAUGGAAGAUUUUGCAGUUCCGAAAUUAAUGUUGCGGGACAAACUUAAAAAGUGGUGCAUGGAAACGAAUCCUUCAAAGAAAUGUUUGGAAAGUCUUUUAUCAAUAUUAAAGGAAGAAGGUCUAGAUGUUCCGCUCACUAGAGAGACUUUGGUGGGCAGAGCAAAAAAUAUGUUAACGAGAAAUGUUGCCCCUGGAAUUUAUUGUCAUAUUGGCAUAGAAACACAACUACGAAAAGUUGGUCACAUUUUGGAAAAGUAUGAGGAAGUCGAACUAGAUAUAAAUAUCGAUGGAAUUCCACUGUUCAAAAGCUCUCGUGUGCAAUUGUGGCCAAUCCUUUGCAGAAUCGUUAAUAUUCAGGAGAAAACAAAACCGUUUGUUGUUGGAUUAUACUUGGGAAACACCAAGCCGGGUAGUGUGAAUGUGUAUUUGAAAGACUUCAUUGAUGAAGUGAUUCUACUAAAAGGUCAGUUUAUCAUACAACAAAAACAUUUAAAAUUGAAGUUUCGUUGCUUAAUAUGUGACGCACCAGCAAAAGCUUUCGUUUGUGGAGUUCCUGGACAUACAUCAACACAUGGCUGCACCAAGUGUACUCAAAUUGCGAAGAAGGUAAACAAUGUCUUGACUUAUAGUAGCGAGAGUGGUUCCCUAAUCUCCGAUGAGGACUUUGCUGUGCGAAAGUAUCCAUGCCACCAUUCCCAAAUGUUCAAAGAAGAAAAAACUCCUCUCGAAGAAAUUGGAUUUGGUAUGAUAAAUCAGACUCCUUUAGAUAGCAUGCAUCUCAUUGACCUCGGAGUCACCAAAAAAAUGCUAACCAGAAUAAUGCAUAAUAAAACUGAAAAGAAAACCUCAAAACAAAAUAUUUCAAAAAUAUCUUCUGAAUUGGUGAAAUUUAAAAAAUACAUUCCAAGGGAAUUCCCAAGAAAACCCAGGCCUUUAGAUGAUCUUUGUCAUUGGAAAGCGACUGAAUUUCACCAGUUCCUUGCUUAUACAGGAAUUAUUGCUCUUUAUAAUAAUGUACACGAAGAUAUUUAUUAUGAAUUUUUAACUUUACAUUGUGCUUAUCGACUUCUUAACAAUGCACGACAUAUGGAUCAAAAUAUUGUUCAAGCUAAUAAUUUGCUUCAAUUAUUUGUCGAGAACUUCUCAACUGUAUUUGGUUCGAACAGCAUUUCUUUUAACGUUCAUAAUCUGCUUCAUUUGGCUUCUUGCGCAGAAAAGUAUGGUCCCCUUAUUUCGUUUUCUGCAUAUGCAUUUGAAAAUAAACUGCAAACACUGAAAAAACAUGUUCGAAAACCAUCACAUAUCUUUCAACAAAUUAUUCAAAAGGAAAAAAAUUGCAUGAUUGUCAACACUAUUCAGGAUGGGUUAAAAUAUGAAAAAGGUGUUAUCGUUGGAGCUUUUGUAAAUGAUUGCUACAUAUCCUGCAAAGAACCAGAUAAUAUUUGCGCGGUGAAUUCAUGCAUUCCAAUAAAAAUUGAUAAUAUAAAGAAAAAGGGCGAAAUAUAUAUUGAAGGCAGUCGAAUUUUGGCAUUAGAAAGUUUCUACGAAGAACCGGUGAAUUCUUGUGAGAUUGGUAUUUUCAAAACGAAUCUGACUCUAGGGGAAAAAGAGACAUUUUGUAUUAAAGACAUUCAGUUCAAAUUUGUAUGCUUGCCAAUUGAUUCUGAUUUUGUAAUCGUGCCCAUUUUACAUUCCUGCUUUCCAGAGAAAUAUCAAGCACAAAUUUUUACCUCCUAAGUACACAACUCCCGCACAUAAACAUGUCGAACGAAAAUGCCAACCCUUCCAAAGGAAAAAUGAAAUAUUUUGCUCCACAAGCUAAUGCAAAAUGUUCUUCCUGCCAAGAAAAUGCCAGAAAACUAGACACGAUUAUUGAUAUUUUGGCGGAGCAUAAAGUUUUACUGGAUCGUGUUAUUUCUCAGAACGCAUUUGUGGACAAUAUUAUGACAAUUUUUCCAAUUGAAUCGGAAGAAAAACUUCGAGAAUUUGAUCGAAUUCUCGCAACACAAGCAGAUCUAUAUGUACGUAUCUGCGUUUUGGGAAUAACAAAUUCAUAACUAAAACAAUUUUUACAAUUGCAGACUCGACAAAUGAAAAAUCUCAUUGCAGGUAACGCUGAACGUAAUUUGCAUAAAGUAUUUGGAAGAAAUAUUAUUAUGGAUUUUAAUGUUGACGGAACUUUCGGGAAAAAAGGUCUACGAGAUUUUGGUAAUGUACUUGCCGCCAUAAUAGGUAAAACGUGUUUGUUUUUGUUUCAAAUAAGUAAUGCUAAAAUAUAGUUUAUAAAACAGAAGUUAUAUCAACAUUUAAUAAAUUACCUGACAAGACUUUACGAGCAGCGUUCCAACGCCAAAAGAAAAAGUAUUUUAAGAUCAACAAACGAAGCAGGCGCACCGAAGAAAAGGAACAAGAUGAAAAUGAUGAAGAACCACAAAUUUAACUGAAUGUUUUUAUGUUAUACUAUAUAAUUUUAAAAUCCUAGUUCUAACUCUAUUCAGUUUUAUUAAAAAUAAGACAAGGUUUGGCCAGCCUUGAAAAAAGUGAGCUAUAUAUGUAAUCCAUUUCUUAAUUUAUUACCUUGCCUAAAAUUCGCAGACUGUUUUAGAUUAAUUAAAUAUAUUGUGUGUAGAUUGAACUGUGCUUUACUUUUGUUUUUGUUACUUAAUAACUGCGUUAAAAAUGUAACGUUGUUAAAUACUUAUUCUAUUACAAGCAUUUUCCUAAAAAUCUCAAAUGACUAUUUGGUUCGAAUGCCUCCAUAUGAUCUCGAAAGGACUAAUGGUCUUCUAGUGUUUAUUUGGUUCAAAUGUCUACAUAUAGCUCAGGAUACCCAAUAAAAUGCAGUGAUUAUUUGGUUCAAACGUCACCAUAUAAACUUAAAAGAUCUAAUCUUUUUCUAGUGAUUAUUUGGUUCAAAUGUCUACAUAUAGCUCAGGAAACCCAAUAUAAUGUAGUGAUUAUUUGGUAUACACGUCAUCACAUAAUCUCAAAAGAUAUAAUCUUUUUCUAGUGACUAUUUGGUUCAAAUGUCACCAUAUAGUCCCAAAAGAACUACUUAGUCAAUAUAGUCAAGGUCUACUGGUACUUCUCCUAUGACAAGCCUAUGUUAAAUGUCCAUAGGAAAUUACAUUGGUUGUGGUAUACUUUUUCACUAGUACUAGCGACAAUGUCACCAGUAAAACACUACAAUUUUACUAAAGCUGCUCGCUGC
RNA transcript from Musca domestica (house fly), 3655 nucleotides. RefSeq lists it as uncharacterized. The record is from RefSeq and is a predicted model, not a curated record. Lineage: Eukaryota; Metazoa; Arthropoda; Insecta; Diptera; Muscidae. The transcript has 2 exons.